UAUGAAACGAAAGGUUUGCUUUUCCACCUUGAACCAAAAUUUUAUGCAUGAUAGGAAAACUUUGACAAUUGGUUCCACAUUAUUGAUGUUUUGAAUUCCUAAUGGAGGGAAGGGGAGGAAUUGUAGGGGGCUCUUUGAUUAGUGCCAGGGAAUAAAUUUACUUUGAUGGCAAAAAGAUAAUUAAGUGCAAGAGCAGUUUGUUUAUAAUGUAAGUUGAUGACCAUUUAAGAUGUAAGUGUUUGGUUUAUGUGAUUUUCUGCUCUAAGGAUUUUCCGUCAUUUGGAUAUUUUUCUCAGCUUACUGGAUUCAAGGCCUUUUCAAUGGCUCUAUGUGAGGAUUGUCUUUCAUUUACUGCUUCGAAUAGUAUUCAAAAAUCCAUGUUAAUGUGAACUUUCAAUGGCCUUGUAAAGGUGUUAUGUGCUCAAAACCUAAUGAUGACAAUGCACCUUUCUUUUAUUCCCUCUAUACCCCAUAAUGCAUCCAUGUUAUAUCACAGAAGAGUUGAGUUGAUAUACAUUGCAUGGAUUACGUGUACAUCGCAUGGAUUGCGUGACUGGAUGUAUGCAACUAUAUUAGGACAUCCUAUGGAAAUUGGAAAUGGGUUUUUACCGAUGUUGUUAGAACUGAAUCGGUUUAAUCGGGAACCAGACCAACAACCGGUUUGGUUCAGACUCAAACCCUCUUUUAUUAAAACCCAGAGCCAACCCGCUUGAACUGGCUGGGUAAUUGGCAAACCGGUUAAUCUGGUCGGGUUUAA
This 757-nucleotide unclassified non-coding RNA is filed under the name Hevea brasiliensis (rubber tree). The record is from RNAcentral. Lineage: Eukaryota; Viridiplantae; Streptophyta; Magnoliopsida; Malpighiales; Euphorbiaceae.